GACGAACGCUGGCGGCGUGCUUAACACAUGCAAGUCGAACGGUAAGGCCCUUCGGGGUACACGAGUGGCGAACGGGUGAGUAACACGUGGGUGAUCUGCCCUGCACUUCGGGAUAAGCCUGGGAAACUGGGUCUAAUACCGGAUAGGACUCCGGACUGCAUGGUCUGGGGUGGAAAGCUUUUGCGGUGUGGGAUGGGCCCGCGGCCUAUCAGCUUGUUGGUGGGGUGAUGGCCUACCAAGGCGACGCCGGGUAGCCGGCCUGAGAGGGUGACCGGCAACACUGGGAGUGAGAUACGGCGCAGACGCCUACGGGAGGGAGCAGGGGGGAAUAUUGCACAAUGGGCGCAAGCCUGAUGCAGCGACGCCGCGUGAGGGAUGACGGCCUUCGGGUUGUAAACCUCUUUCAGCAUCGACGAAGCGAAAGUGACGGUAGGUGCAGAAGAAGGACCGGCCAACUACGUGCCAGCAGCCGCCGUAA
Molecule: ribosomal RNA, 478 nt
Filed under: uncultured bacterium
Lineage: Bacteria
Description: partial 16S ribosomal RNA
Rfam family: Bacterial small subunit ribosomal RNA
Source: RNAcentral